AUCCUGAGAGGUUGGAAGAAGAGAGGGACCCAUAUGGGAGGCUGGGAAAGGUAAGACUCCAGGGCUAACACAGAACAAUGAAAUAGUCCAGAGCCACUUGGUCAUGAUUCUAGAGAGGACCCUGUCCUUCCUUUUUAGGGUCAGCACCGUCAGUUCUGAUGUAUCCCUUGCAAUAGCGACUCAAACUCAUGUGUAAUUGAUGGGAGAGCUUGGCAGCAAUUCAGUUCUCCAAAGUGUUACUGUGUGCCCCUCCACCGGCCUCAGGCACUGGGCCAGGGGAAAGAGAGAGAGUUGGGGAAGGACAGACGAUUAAGCAAGCAAUUUUAAAGGUGAUGAGUAUCACAGAUAAAUUAAUCCCAAUCCUGAGGAAAACAAGGGGAUCCUGAAGAAAGUUCCCUUUAAUCUGAGACUUGAAUGCUGAGGUAGAAAUGAUCUGAGUGAGGGUGAGGGGGGCAUUGACUGAGCAGAGUAAGUAGAGCUUCCUCGGCUCAGGAAACAGCUCCGCGGAGGCCGGGAGGGAGCGAGUGGCUGGAGCAGCGUGCGUGGUGCAGGGGCACAGAGAGAUGGCAGCCACAGCGUGCUGGCCCGGUCCUGGGCUCAGUCAUCACCGUGACUCUUGGGCUCCUCUCAAAACCUCAGUCUUGCUGGGUCUCUGGCUGGAUUUGGAGAACAGGGCCCAGAUGUCCCAAGGGCUGGAAUCUGACGGCCACUGUCCGGGGAUAGAGGCCUGAGAUUUCAGCUCCCACCCCGUCCCUUACCCUGCAGGGUCCUCUUGGGUCCUGGACUCACCAGAACUCUCCAUCCUCCGUGACCUGGUGUUGCAGACGGGCCUUCUCGUUCUUGCCCACAAAGCUCCAGUCCUUCCAACUGGAGGGAGAGUGGAGGAGUUAGGGAAGGAAAAAGAAAGGGAAGGCCUGGUGUGAGUUGGGACAGGAGGUGUCAGAGAAAUAUGAAUAAGUUCAGAGAAUAGGUCAUCUCCAAACUGCAGCCAGCGUGAACCAUCGAAAUGCAAAUCUGAUCUGAUACCCUCAGUAUAAAACCCAAUAAUUGCUUCCCACCAUCCUCAGGAUUAAGACCACGCUUUUUGAAUGGUUUAUAAGGGCUUGACUCUUCUCUGGCUGAAUCUUUAACCAUUCCUCACACUUUAAAGUUAGGAGUUGGGCUCUGGAAAUAGGUAAACUGGGAUUUCAAUUUAAUCAUACCAGUACUAGCUGUAACCUUGGGCAAGUCACUUCACCCCUCUCAGCUUCUGUUUUCUCAACUGCAAAAGGGGAAUGAUUAUAUCACCUACUCACAGGGCUGUGAUGAGCAAGAAAUGAAAUAAUGCAUGCAAAACUUUUAGAACUGACCCGUCAUCUAAUAAGUAACUGUCUUGAGUUACUGAGAGAAAGACCAAACAUGUAAACUUCUCCUUCCUCCUGCCACCCCACGAAACAUCCCAGUUUUGUGUUUUAAAAGGCUGGGCAGUUUUACACACUCUUUCUCCCGAAGAAGGAGGAAAUAAAGCACAUUUGUGUUUCAGGCAUGUGGAGGAGAAUGAAACUAAACUAGUUUGGAGAGGUAAGGGAUUGAGGAAGUGCUUGGAACCAGGGAAUACCAGAGGGGAAGUGGAGAUUCCUGAGACCAGCAGGAGGGACACAGUGCCGGGGAGUGGAGGGAGGGUCUCCUUGUGUGACUGAGGCUGGGCCCCACUUGUCAGCAAUCCCUGCAGUGGAGGUGUUGGCAGAAAGUGUGUUAAGGCCGGACACCAAGAUCUGAGACUGGAGGACACAGCGAGGGUCCCUGUGGGUGACUCGGGCCAGUGGAGUGGACAACUGAUGGGGCACCGAGAGCCUUCCCAGAGCAGAGAGCCUAGUUCAAAUGCCACUCCCUCCAGGCAACUUUCUACCUUCCUGUCCCACCCAGACCAGGAGAAGGGCUCCCUUUUUGUGACCCUUACCAUAGCAUUUCUCUCAACGAUUAGUGUUUUUCUGUCCUUCCCACUGGACCUUAAAGCCUACAGGGCAGGGCCUGAAUCUCUGCGUUCAUUUCUAAGUCCCCAGACAGUAUCAUGGGGCCUGGCACAUACUGCACACUGAGGGACUGGGGAUUUGUUGCACGGAUAAGAGAAGGGAACAGUAAGGAGACCAGGAUCAGCAUCUUAUCGAUCUACCAAGCGAGGCUGCCUGCUCACGGAAGGGCCCCAGUGCUUAGACCUGUGCUUGGGAUUCAGUAGGUGCUCAGCGAAUACUUGCUAAGUGAAUGAAUGGCCGAAUGAACCAGUAAUUACGGUGCCCUGAGAUGAGAGGUAUGUUGAGGUAAGCCAGGGGCUGAAGGACACACACAGCCUGGGUGUGGUCCUUCCCAGCUGCUGAGUCCUGCUCUCCCCCGUUGGGAAUAAAGGAGCUCCAGGGCCUACUCUCCAACCAGAGAGGCGGAGUCAGGAGCCAGUGAUUGGGGUGGGACAAUAAAGGCUUUGUGAACAUUCUGGAGCCUUCAUAGCAGCUUCCCCAGGUGUGUUAUUUUUGCAGCCCCCAGUCACUUGCUCUCAGUGAUAAGCAGUAAAGUUCUUGCAAAGGGCCUGUGCAUCUCUUUAUGGGGACAGUGAGGGAGAGGAUAUCUUAGCACUGGUUAAGCACUCUUCUGACACAACCGCAUUUUCUCCUCAUAACAGCCCACCGGGUAGGUGCUAACAUUGUUCCCAUUUUACAGAUAAGGCAACAGAGAUUCCGAGAAGGGAAGUCACCUGUCCAGUCCAGACCCCUGCAUCAAGACUCCCCUCCUGCCUGGACCUAGCCCAGGCUUUCUAGACAUCUUUCCUUUCCAGACAGUGGCCAUCAGCCAGCUCUCUGGAUCCCAGGUUCCCGUGGCUCUGCUCCCAGCCCUUCCCUGAAGCCCACGUCCCCUCUUCUCCUCUGCGGAUCCUUGGUUUUAAGGGUGAUUUUAGACCAAGCAUUUGUAGUACUCUUGUGGCUCGGUACCCAGCCCUGCCUUGCCCCAGGCCUUGUUGUCCCCUAUUCGUGGGGUCCCCUCACCCACCUGUCACUCCAGGAGCCAUUCCACUCCACCUGGCCCCAGGGGUUCCGCAGCCGCACCAGCUUCACUUUCUCACCCUUGUACAGGGCCUUGAGCAAAGAGAAAAAGCUUUCUCCCUUUGGGCCCUUUCUGAAAGGGGGUCUGCUGUCUUGCCCUGAGGGCUGGGGUGGGAGUGGGGAGAGAAUCCUGUACAGGGGGCUGUCCUGCCUGGCCCCGGUCAAGGACACUAAUCACAAGUCCCCUGUGGAAUGGCAGGGUGAUGGGUCAGAACCUUAGGGCUGAGUCUGCAGGAGUCAGGCUUGGCCACCACCUUGCCAUCUUCUAAGAAGUGAUUUUCCCAGCGAGCGUCUGGCCAUUCAGAGCUUUGGGAGAGGAGGCAGGGAAUAUAAUGUAGGACUCUGCUAGUACAAGGUGCCUCUGUGUGAAUUAGAAGAAAACGCCCCUGCUGGCUGAGGAACCGUAGAAAAUGUCCCUUCCAGAUGGAUCAAUCAGAAAAAGGGGGCCUUCCUCCUGGUUGCUGCAUGGGCUGCUGCAGACGACUGCCCCUCUCCGCCCAUCUCUAUGAACAGGGCACAGCUCGCCCAACUGUGCACAAGGGGUCUGACAAGGUUCCUGUCUCUGACGUGACCCAGUGAAGGCCAGACAUCCCAGGGGAAGCAAAACCUUGGAACUGACCAUGAAAAACAAGAAAGACAAGAGCCCAUGAUAUCAACUUCAUAAAACCAAAGUGCUUUCUAUUAGUUCUUUGGAAAUGUUGGGGCAAUUGCUAUCUUUAGCGCUAAAAACAAACAUAAACUGAGCACCAUCUUGUGGCAAGACCCACCUACCAGUCCCAGUGGCCUCCUCCAACCCCAGGCGCUCGGCCUGAGUGCCUGAUUGGAGGCAAAUUCUACAGAUGUGAAGGGACACAGAAAGCCAAGUCCUGACUUCGGGAGGUUCACCCAAGUAGCCCCUCAAGUCCCGUCCCGCCAAGCCCCGCCAGGCUCACCUCCUCCAGCCCAGUGACUGAGUAGGCAUGGCCUUUGACCAGCCCGCAGGCCAUUCUUGUCUCGUACUGAACUGGAACAAUUGUCUGUGGAGUGAAAACCACACAACCUGUCAGGGUUGCUGCCUGAGACAAAGUUCACACUGGUUCACGUCCUGGGUUCUGUGAGGACGAGGACUCCUCCACGCCCUGGAAGUGUGCCUCACAGCCGUGAGAAGGCCCUCACUAGCCCUUUCAGAGAGCCAAGAAGAUGCAGCCCAGACAAGUGGUUUCCCCAGACCGUCGGAGAGCAACAUGGAGCUGGGGCACGAGCCCCCCAGAACAUGCUAAAGAAAUCAAAAGCGCCCAGGGAGAGAAUUCUGAGGAGGCCAGAGGAGAGUCCUGCUGAGAUGUGACCGUGCCUCAGGGAGCAGCGGUAGCUCUUCCAUUUGAGAUUUGCAGCCACAGGAGAUCCUCGGCAGAGGGGUAGGAUCACCAAAGCCCAGUGAGCCCUAGACGGAUCUCUGUGGCUUCACUUUGCCUGAUAGCAUAACAGCUUUAAGAGGAGCAGCCUGGAGGCCUUUUCAAGAGAAACUGCCUGGACCAUGGAGUUUGAAGGACCUCCCACAGAGAUUCCCUCCAAAAGCUGCCUCCCACACCUUCCUCAGGAGCCUCGGAGAGGGCAAGUUAUUCCAACCCAGACCCUUGGAAGGCCUCAGGAGGAGGCUGUGUGUGAGGUGCUGGCUGCUGAGGAAGAGCUUUCCCACAGUCCACACCAAAGAUAAUACUUCCCGAACAAGAGGCUGAGACAGAGGAAAGACUGGUGAAGCAGACAAGCUAACCAACCAGACAGAAAAUUGGACGCUCAUCCACAUGGCAAAUGUCGUCUUUGUUGAAAAACUCCUUUAAUAUGGAGCUAUUCUGGGGCGAUUUCAACAGGAGUUCGAGUUACAAAAGCACAUUUUGUGAGCAUAUAGAUUCCAUGUGCCCAAGGGACAUGCGUGGUACAUGGACAGUUUCAGAGCUGCCUUCUAAGGAAGGUGGGUACAGCUAAAAGCAGGGCUUUUGUCUCGCUGAGUGGGGUGUGUGAGUGUCCUGGAGACUCUGGAGAGGAGGCUGUGGAAUGAGGCACACCUCCUGUGACACAAGGCAAGGAACUAGUGAGAAAGGUGGGAAGGACAGAAAUUAAAUGAAGCAAUCACCAGCACGUUGAUAGAUGAG
Balaenoptera acutorostrata (minke whale) is the source of this 5200-nucleotide long non-coding RNA. RefSeq lists it as uncharacterized. The record is from RefSeq and is a predicted model, not a curated record. NCBI's taxonomy places the organism in Eukaryota, Metazoa, Chordata, Mammalia, Artiodactyla, Balaenopteridae. The transcript is spliced from 4 exons.